RNAcentral lists this ribosomal RNA (496 nucleotides) under uncultured bacterium. RNAcentral's name for it is "partial 16S ribosomal RNA". It matches the Rfam family "Bacterial small subunit ribosomal RNA", at positions 28 to 506 of the family's 1533-position model. The record is from RNAcentral.
GAUGAACGCUGGCGGCGUGCCUAAUACAUGCAAGUCGAGCGAACGGACGAGAAGCUUGCUUCUCUGAUGUUAGCGGCGGACGGGUGAGUAACACGUGGAUAACCUACCUAUAAGACUGGGAUAACUUCGGGAAACCGGAGCUAAUGCCGGAUAAUAUUUUGAACCGCAUGGUUCAAAAGUGAAAGACGGUCUUGCUGUCACUUAUAGAUGGAUCCGCGCUGCAUUAGCUAGUUGGUAAGGUAACGGCUUACCAAGGCAACGAUGCAUAGCCGACCUGAGAGGGUGAUCGGCCACACUGGAACUGAGACACGGUCCAGACUCCUACGGGAGGCAGCAGUAGGGAAUCUUCCGCAAUGGGCGAAAGCCUGACGGAGCAACGCCGCGUGAGUGAUGAAGGUCUUCGGAUCGUAAAACUCUGUUAUUAGGGAAGAACAUAUGUGUAAGUAACUGUGCACAUCUUGACGGUACCUAAUCAGAAAGCCACGGCUAACUACGU